GAUGAACGCUGGCGGCGUGCCUAAUACAUGCAAGUCGAGCGAACGGACGAGAAGCUUGCUUCUCUGAUGUUAGCGGCGGACGGGUGAGUAACACGUGGAUAACCUACCUAUAAGACUGGGAUAACUUCGGGAAACCGGAGCUAAUACCGGAUAAUAUUUUGAACCGCAUGGUUCAAAAGUGAAAGACGGUCUUGCUGGCACUUAUCGAUGGAUCCGCGCUGCAUUAGCUAGUUGGUAAGGUAACGGCUUACCAAGGCAACGAUGCAUAGCCGACCUGAGAGGGUGAUCGGCCACACUGGAACUGGGACACGGUCCAGACUCCUGCGGGAGGCAGCAGUAGGGAAUCUGCCGCAGAGGGCGAAAGCCUGACGGAGCAACGCCGCGUGAGUGGUGAAGGUCUUCGGAUCGUAAAACUGUGUUAUUAGGGAAGAACAUAUGUGUAAGUAACUGUGCACAUCUUGACGGUACCUAAUCAGAAAGCCACGGCUAACUACGUG
Molecule: ribosomal RNA, 497 nt
Filed under: uncultured bacterium
Lineage: Bacteria
Description: partial 16S ribosomal RNA
Rfam family: Bacterial small subunit ribosomal RNA
Source: RNAcentral